AUGCCGCAACCCGACGCGCUCCACCGGGCCUCCACCACGCCCGACAGUUCAGGGCCCGGCCGCUGCCCGUGCCGCCGGCCGACGGGGCCGCACGGCAGCGAGCGAGCUGGGAUGAAGUCAGGCGUGGAGGUGGACGGCGGCUCCGAUCCUGGUGACGGCGCCGCUGGACUUCGGGAUGGAUGGAGAGAGGGUAGCGAGAGGGUUCCGGAUCUGCUCUUUGUUGUGGCUGGGUAUCAGAGGGCUGAAAGGGGGUAUGUUACUGGCUUUGUAAGAUCAUCGUGCAGUCUUAUGCUUAUACCACAUCUCUAG
RNAcentral lists this ribosomal RNA (309 nucleotides) under Triticum aestivum (bread wheat). Its description in RNAcentral is "partial small subunit ribosomal RNA". Lineage: Eukaryota; Viridiplantae; Streptophyta; Magnoliopsida; Poales; Poaceae. The record is from RNAcentral.